UACGGAGGGUGCAAGCGUUAUUCGGAAUUACUGGGCGUAAAGCGUACGCAGGCGGUUUGUUAAGUCAGAUGUUAAAUACUCGGGCUCAACCUGGGAACUGCAGCUGAUACUGGCAAGCUUGAGUCUCGUAGGGGGGGGUAGAAUUCCAGGUGUAGCGGUGAAAUGCGUAGAGAUCUGGAGGAAUACCGGUGGCGAAGGCGGCCCCCUGGACGAAGACUGACGCUCAGGUACGAAAGCGUGGGGAGCAAACAGG
This 253-nucleotide ribosomal RNA is filed under the name uncultured bacterium. RNAcentral's name for it is "partial 16S ribosomal RNA". It matches the Rfam family "Bacterial small subunit ribosomal RNA", at positions 524 to 776 of the family's 1533-position model. The record is from RNAcentral.